CCUCCUUAAAAGAAGUGUGAAUCUUUCGUUUUAAGCGCCCACACAAUCUACUUAAUCAGUUCACCGACCGCGGGUCUGUAGCUCAGUUGGUUAGAGCGCACCCCUGAUAAGGGUGAGGUCGGAAGUUCAACUCUUCCCAGACCCACCAGGUUGCCUCCAAACCAGAGGCUUACCAAUCGGGGCCAUAGCUCAGCUGGGAGAGCACCUGCUUUGCAAGCAGGGGGUCGGCGGUUCGAUCCCGCCUGGCCCCACCAGGUGAUAAACGAUAGUGAUUUAGGCCACUAUCGUUUAUUUCUUGACGAAGUCGGGUCAGCGGACGCUCUUUAACAAUUUAGUAGUAGUGAUAUACGACGGUGAAGUCGAGCCUGUUUCAGGCGAGGCUUUACUGGGUAUACCAGCAUUUAUCAGUAGAUGUAUUCGAUAUAUCCCAAAAGGAUCAGUCUUUUUGGGGUUAUAUGAUCAAGCGACCAAGCGCGCAUGGUGGAUGCCUAGGUGGUAAGAGGCGAUGAAGGACGUUGUACCUGCGAUAAGCCUCGGGGANCCGA
Molecule: unclassified non-coding RNA, 545 nt
Filed under: uncultured Thiotrichales bacterium
Lineage: Bacteria; Pseudomonadati; Pseudomonadota; Gammaproteobacteria; Thiotrichales
Description: partial 16S-23S ribosomal RNA intergenic spacer
Rfam family: tRNA (bases 72-145)
Source: RNAcentral